CACCACAUAAUGAGAGUAGCGCACGUGGUGGAAGUAAACCACGGUAGGGAACAAUUACCUUAGAAGGUGGGGACAACAGAGGGAAACUUCUGCUAAUACCGCAUAAUCCCUGAGGGGGAAAGAUUUAUCGCUUUAAGAUUGGCCCGCGGAAGAUUAGGUAGUUGGUGGGGUAAAGGCCUACCAAGCCGACGAUCUAUAGCUGGUCUGAGAGGACGAACAGCCACAUUGGAACUGAGACACGGUCCAGACUCCUACGGAAGGCAGCAG
Molecule: ribosomal RNA, 267 nt
Filed under: uncultured bacterium
Lineage: Bacteria
Description: partial 16S ribosomal RNA
Rfam family: Bacterial small subunit ribosomal RNA
Source: RNAcentral